RNAcentral lists this small nuclear RNA (115 nucleotides) under Pongo abelii (Sumatran orangutan). Lineage: Eukaryota; Metazoa; Chordata; Mammalia; Primates; Hominidae. The record is from RNAcentral.
GUGAUCGCUUCAGCAGCACAUAUACUAAAACUGGAACGAUACAGAGACGAUUAGCAUGGCCCCUCUGCAAGGAUGACACACAAAUUCAUGAAGCAUUUCUUUCUUUUUUUUUUUC